GUAAAUCAUCAGGAGCUUCCAGAAAAUACCGGAACACCAACCGAGAGACCAAAAUCCACGGUGGUAAAGUAUGAGGGCAUCCGCCAAAAUAUAAGGUUAUA
This 101-nucleotide non-coding RNA is filed under the name Cloacibacterium normanense. Its description in RNAcentral is "SAM-I-IV sequence". It matches the Rfam family "SAM-I/IV (S-adenosyl methionine) riboswitch aptamer". From Rfam's summary of the family: It is found upstream of a number of genes which code for proteins involved in methionine or cysteine biosynthesis. It has been found mostly in the order Actinomycetales. Lineage: Bacteria; Pseudomonadati; Bacteroidota; Flavobacteriia; Flavobacteriales; Weeksellaceae. The record is from Rfam by way of RNAcentral.